RNAcentral lists this transfer RNA (76 nucleotides) under Zooshikella ganghwensis. RNAcentral describes it as "tRNA-Val". It matches the Rfam family "tRNA". From Rfam's summary of the family: Transfer RNA (tRNA) molecules are approximately 80 nucleotides in length. Their secondary structure includes four short double-helical elements and three loops (D, anti-codon, and T loops). RNAcentral also lists the same sequence under 2 other names. Lineage: Bacteria; Pseudomonadati; Pseudomonadota; Gammaproteobacteria; Oceanospirillales; Zooshikellaceae. The record is from RNAcentral.
GGGCAGGUAGCUCAGCUGGGAGAGCAUCGCCCUUACAAGGCGAGGGUCGGGGGUUCGAACCCCUCCCUGCCCACCA